CCUACGGGUGGCAGCAGUGGGGAAUAUUGCACAAUGGGGGAAACCCUGAUGCAGCGACGCCGCGUGAGCGAUGAAGUAUUUCGGUAUGUAAAGCUCUAUCAGCAGGGGAGAAAAUGACGGUACCUGACUAAGAAGCCCCGGCUAACUACGUGCCAGCAGCCGCUGUAAUACGUAGGGGGCAAGCGGUAUCCGGAUUUACUGGGUGUAAAGGGAGCGUAGACGGCGAUGCAAGCCAGAUGGGAAAGCCUGGGGCUCAACCCCGGGACUGCAUUUGGAACUGUAGAGCUGGAGUGUCGGAGAGGCAGGCGGAAUGCGUAGUGUAGCGGUGAAAUGCGUAGAUAUUAGGAGGAACACCAGUGGCGAAGGCGGCCUGCUGGCCGAUGACUGACGUUGAGGCUCGAAAGCGUGGGGAGCAAACAGGAUUAGAUACCCCAGUAGUC
Molecule: ribosomal RNA, 440 nt
Filed under: uncultured bacterium
Lineage: Bacteria
Description: partial 16S ribosomal RNA
Rfam family: Bacterial small subunit ribosomal RNA
Source: RNAcentral